CGGGUGAGUAACACGUGAACGUUAACCUCGUCCCUUGUACGUUUGGGAAUUAACUUCGAGAACGUGGGCUAAGUACCGGAGUAGGAGCCUCCUGCUGCAUGGGUGGGGGUUGGAAAGUUUCGGCGGUUGGGGAUGGACUCGCGGCUUAUCAGCUUGUUGGUGGGGUAGUGGCUUACCAAGGCUUUGACGGGUAGCCGGCCUGAGAGGGUGACCGGCCACAUUGGGACUGAGAUACGGCCCAGACUCCUACGGGAGGCAGCAGUGGGGAAUAUUGCACAAUGGGCGGAAGCCUGAUGCAGCAACGCCGCGUGCGGGAUGACGGCCUUCGGGUUGUAAACCGCUUUCGCCUGUGACGAAGCGUGAGUGACGGUAAUGGGUAAAGAAGCACCGGCUAACUACGUG
RNAcentral lists this ribosomal RNA (402 nucleotides) under uncultured bacterium. Its description in RNAcentral is "bacterial SSU rRNA". It matches the Rfam family "Bacterial small subunit ribosomal RNA", at positions 100 to 507 of the family's 1533-position model. The record is from RNAcentral.